AGAGUUCAAAUGCAAUGUCCUCCUUUUCAAUUUAUUGUUAUGGUAAUCCUACCUGAAACCUAUGGCGAUUUUUGUGUUAAAUUUCAUUGAUUGGAAAUUGUUUUUGCUUCAGAAGGCUUUAGAUCUAUAUGGAGUUUUUAUAAACCUAGUGCCUAGAUCGUAACUGUAAUACCUUUUCAUUGUAAUAGUAAUCGUUAAUGUCUCCAAAUUUAAUCAUACCGAUUUGUAGGUUGCUCUUAUUAAUGAACCGGAUCAGAACAUUAAUUCUUACCAUCUAAACUAUCCUACUGGUGACGGAAAUGCUAAUGUGGAUAACGGAUUGCGUGCCAUUAGUCCCGCCACGGUUACCAUAGUUAUGGAUAUUUUGUCCAAGCGGGAAAGCGAUUCGAGCUUACGCCAGCUCGUACUGCAAUGUUUCACCAUGAUGGCAAUCAUAUUGCAAAAAUCUAGUCCUGAACAGCGCCAAAUCGAUUUACUUACUAUUUUUCAACUGUAUCUGGGAGCCGUUCACACCUUACUGGAAACGGAACAUUUCCUGCAGAAAGGAUCGCCGAGGUUAUAUUUCGAGGUGAAAGUUUCGAGGUGUCGCCAAAUGAUGAUAAUUACAUUGACGUCGGGGCUCUGACUACUAUUAUCGGAGUGUCACGUCAACAAGCAUGUACUGUGCAAUGCCAUGUUCGAAGCAAAAUUUAUACCCAGUCUAGUGCUGAUCCCGGAACGAGUUAAGAUCUGGCAUAUCGAUCAUCAAACAUUGGGCUCAACACUGGUCAGGAAUUUCCAUAAGCUUUGCAGCAGUUCUGAAAAAAUCCACUACAAUCUAAUGCAUACCAACAACGUGAACGUUUUGUUCGAUGGAUUGAAACUUUUCGGGCGACCGUCUCACGAUUUGGUAUGCGAUUGUUUGUACUUUGCCUUCGAGGGAGGCGAAUACCAUAGUUUGAACGCUCGAAUCGUUACCAAGCUGGUGGAGUGGAUACCUGUGAUGGCUGAGGCGGAACAAAACUACACCAGUGACGUACUGCUGAAGAAGUGUUCGGCCAGCAUUCAAAGGUAAAAAAACCCUUCAACCUGUUUAAAAAACAAACAAAUAAAUCGACAUUAUUUUUUUAAGCAAACAUUCAAUAUCGGAGCAACGGAUGAUUAAGUGUAUCGUGGAUUACUGCUUGGAAGAUCAACAUAAAUUGUCAGCGAAAUGCGCUAUAAAUUUGC
Molecule: long non-coding RNA, 1209 nt
Organism: Ochlerotatus camptorhynchus
Lineage: Eukaryota; Metazoa; Arthropoda; Insecta; Diptera; Culicidae
Exons: 4
Source: RefSeq, a predicted model, not a curated record